RNAcentral lists this ribosomal RNA (253 nucleotides) under uncultured bacterium. RNAcentral's name for it is "partial 16S ribosomal RNA". It matches the Rfam family "Bacterial small subunit ribosomal RNA", at positions 524 to 776 of the family's 1533-position model. The record is from RNAcentral.
UACGUAGGGGGCGAGCGUUGUCCGGAUUUAUUGGGCGUAAAGAGCGUGUAGGCGGCCAGGUAGGUCUGCUGUGAAAACUCGAGGCUCAACCUCGAGACGUCGGCGGAAACCAUCUGGCUAGAGUCCGGAAGAGGAGAGUGGAAUUCCUGGUGUAGCGGUGAAAUGCGCAGAUAUCAGGAGGAACACCGAUGGCGAAGGCAGGUCUCUGGGCCACUACUGACGCUGAGAAGCGAAAGCGUGGGGAGCGAACAGG